Brassica oleracea var. oleracea is the source of this 146-nucleotide long non-coding RNA. RefSeq lists it as uncharacterized. The record is from RefSeq and is a predicted model, not a curated record. NCBI's taxonomy places the organism in Eukaryota, Viridiplantae, Streptophyta, Magnoliopsida, Brassicales, Brassicaceae. The transcript is spliced from 2 exons.
GUCGACUAUACCUGGAUGCUACUUCUGGGAUCUAUUUUUACUUUGACCAUGAGGUGGCCGCAAGCCAGAGACUAUUUCAAGAGUUGUAUUCAAAACCCGAGAAGGACACUACCAUUGCGAAGCAGUACCAUGGUGUAAAGAAGCUC